CGUCUGUGACCUACACCACAGCUCACGGCAACACCGGAUCCUUAACCCACUGAGCAAGGCCAGGGAUUGAACCUGCAACCUCAUGGUUCCUAGUCGGAUUCGUUAACCACUGAGCCACGACGGGAACUCCAAAUAACACCUUCUUCUAGAAAACUACUAAUCUAACUUGUACACAAGAUUUUAGGUCCAACAGGGCUUUCUGUAAUUUUUUUUUUUUUUUUUUUUUUUACAGCUGGCACUUGAGGUGUAUGGAAAUUCCUGGGCUACGGAUUGAAUUGGAGCUGCAGCUGCUGGCCAACACUGGAUCAGAGCUGCACCUGUGAGCUAAACCGGCUUGGGGCAACGCCAGAUCCUUAACCCACUAAGCCAGGCCAAGGAUCGAACCUACAUCCUUACAGAGGCAGUGCUGGUUCUUAACACCCUGAGCCACAAGAGGAACUCCUGCAAUAUCUUCUUUAUUCAAACUUUCCCCCAUCUUCCUACCUCAGAGCUUGUCAUUUUUAGUUGUCUUGUCUCUGGGGUUAACAUGAAGAGCAGGGACUUACCUCUGGUUUCAUUUUUUCACUGUGUUGACUGAAGACUGAAAUCCUUAUAUGGAAGAUUUUCUUAGGUUUGGUUCCCUGGAGACAGAUCCUGAGACAGAGUUGCAUGCAGCAAGUUUAUUGGGGAAGUGUCUUGGGAGAUGCACCUAUAAGGACCUGGGGAAGGCAGGAGUGGGGGAGGCAGUAGUUGGGCUAUGAUGCAGCUGCAGCAGAAGCUUCAGCCAUUCCCUUGGAAGCUCUGGAGCUGGGACGGUCCUUGAGAGAUGUCGGGACUACUUUGCAUCCUUACAUUGGCCCAUCAUUGGUUGCUAGCUGUCCCUGGGAGAGAAGAUAACCUUAGCUGAAGUGGUUCUCUGUAGCCAAAGACAAUUCCUUGGUGAGACAUGAAGCUCUGACCCGUCAGCAGCUAACAGUCCUAACACCUGGGGCAUGAGUACACCAUUCCAGAAGACAGGACCUUAACAGAGCCCCUCAGCAUCCUCUCUGGUUCGCUCAGAUCCGCUGGGAUCUAAGAGUCAUUUUGUCUUAUCUGGAAAUAGCGUCUCCAGGGUUCUGGAUGGUCUUAUUUCUUGUGAAAGCUUAGAAGCACCAAUGGGAUGCAUAAUAGCCCGACAGUUGCAGUUGAACUUAAAUGUUCAUAAUUGACACUUGUGGUCCUUAUCCUCUACCACGCACCCUAGGUGUCUCUCACCCUCAGCCAUCAUGUAUACUUGUCCAGGGAGAUUACCUGGUGGGGAUUUUAGACUCUCUUUGCUGAGCUACCAGUCCUUCCCAAGCUGUGGCUGCUAUGCCUGUUUAUAAACCACUAAAUCCUGGCAUGGUAGCACCAAAACCAUCCAUCCAGGGCCCUGCAGGCAAGAAAGGCAAACCUAUACUUGGAAUGUGUGUCCAUUCUAGUCAAGAUAAACUGCUCCUCCUUUUAGAGUGGAAAAGAUUCAAAAGAAUUGACUCGAUACCAAACUACUGAUUGGUCUACUCAAGGGAGGUUGCCAUUUUGGAGACCCACCAUUACUCUGCUACCCACAGGUUGGAUGGACAUUCAACAGCAUCAUUAGCUAAAACAGAUUUUGGAAGCAUGUUGUUGGGCCCAUGCUUAAGCCUUUAUCUCUGCCAUCAUGGUAGCUCUAUUCACAAAUCCACUGUAUGGGCACUAGGUUGAAGAGAACAGACUAUUACCUGAGUCACUUGGUUAUUUAGUGCCUCUUCUGCAAUAUAUGCUAUCUGGUAGUGCCCACUACCACAGGCCCAUCCAAGGGCCUUCUCCACAGACAUCUUAGUCCUCAGUCUUUCCAUACCAACCAGGCCAUCUGCCACAUGCUCUGCUUCCAAGGACCAUUCUAGAUACCAACUGUUUUAGGUGGGGUGCUCUGGAAACCAGACGCUGAGAUUGACUGCAGAAGAUUUAUUUUGGGAUGCACUCAGGAGAUUUAUCUUUAAAGACAUGAGCAUGCAGCACUGGGGAGAUGGGCAAAUUUAAGCAAGGGAGGCAGUAAUUUUUAUCCUCAUACCAGUAAGUCAUUGGCUAUAGGCUGUCCCACUGAGGGAGUCAUAGUCUUGGAUGAGACAUAUCUUCAGCUGAGGGCAAUUUCUAGUGAGGGGUAUAACUAUGUGUUGUUAAGACAGUAUUUCCAGAAGCUGGGAGAUGGUUAUGUCAGUCCUGAAGGAGCAAUCUAGUCAGUGAAUCAUAGUAGCCACUACAGUGUUAGACCAUCUAUUUGUCUAAUUCAGGUUCAAGUUUUAUCUUAAUAUUGCUAGUGCAUUGGUGGUGGCUGUGGGCAAGAAGCCUCAAUCCCUGGCCACAUGAACCUUUCCAUGAGCCGCUGAUUGAUCCUUGGGAAAAUGAUCCAAGAGAAAGCAAGGCAGAAGCUGUCUUUGAUGACCCAAACUAGAAAGUGACAUAUUGUCACUUCUACAAAUCCUUUUGGCAAUGCACAUUGUCCCUAGUGACUGCAGAAAGUGACUAUACAAAGGCAUGAAUACCAGAAGGCGAAGACCAUUGGGGUUAUCUUGGAGACAAGUUACUACAAUGAGGUUUCACAGAUCUAGAAGACUUGAGCCAAAGCUCCUUCUAUCAAAUGCUCAUGUCAUUUUAAUAUUUAACUCAGUGUCUAAGGGGGUGGAGUGGGGUGGAGGACUAAGGGGCUAUAAAUAUCCAGAACUUGAAAGCGCUUGGAAUCCAUCCUACUCGAGGAUCAGCACUUCCCUCUCUGCUGCACUGUUUAAUAACUAUAUUUCCAGAAAGCAAUCUAUCAUUGCAAUAAUCUUCUCUUGCUGCAGAUUAUGCCAAAGAUUAAAAUACAUUAUUUAUUGUUCUAGAAAUACGUUGGAAAAUCAUGUCUUUGUGCUCAGAGAACGUGCUAAAAAUUGCAUCCAUUCUGAUUGGGGUCUUCUCAUAUUUUCCAGGAUUCUGUAGAAAAGCCUAUAUAUCAUCAUCCUGGAGAUCUGAGUACUAAAUGGUGGGUUUUUGACUAUUUUACACUUUUAUUCAAGACAAAGUAUCUAAGUUGACAAUCAGUGAUUAUACCCAUAUACAAUUAUCCAGGCCAGUUAGCCAGUGCUCUAAGGUAAACAGCUAAACUUGGCUUGAGGGAUACUGCCACGAAAGAAAAAUACAUGGUUCCUCCUCUCAAAGACAUGGGUAUCAUGUGAGAGAAACAGCACAAACCCAUAAUGAGCGCAUGAGAACUAAACACACUGGAAACUUGCAUGGGAAUAAACCUUUGGCAGAGCUCUCUCUGGCCUCCCUCGAUCAGCAAACACUUUGCUAACCUAGAAACGAACCCAAUUUGAAAAGAGAAUAGCAAAUCCCUUUGCUAGAUUUAUAUCAGGGAUGGCAUGGGAUAGAGGAGAGGAAGGGUCAGUAGACUUUUCUGCCCAGAGGAGUCAACGCCAGCUAUAAAUGGAAUGCUGCCUCCAAGACACCCUCUCUACCCACCCGAUCACACCACAUCCCCUUGACUGAGGGAUGCCCUUUUACCCAAGGCUGUAAUUCAUUUCCAUGACUACCAGGAAGACCAGAACAAACACCUUCCUUCCAACUGGAACUGCAUUUAUUUCGUAGGUAUAAAAUCAAUAUCUUUUACUUUGUGGAGAUGUGUACAAUCGGUUUAGAAGCAUUAUACGCAGGUCUGAUGGAAAAGUCUGUUAUCUGAACUGCGUUUACACGCUGGGCUUGGAAUCAAAGGGACUGAGAGCCUUCAUUUACUUACGCAUCCAUUCAACGAAUGUAUAGCUCAUGCAGGUGCCAUGCUAGGCAAGGAGCACAAGGAGCUUAGAAGAAUAAAUAAAUAAAAGAAUCCCUAUUUUAAGAUCCACAAACUCUAAAGGGAAAAUAGACAACUAUGAUAUAAAUUGAUAAACCCUAUGCUAGAAAUGGGCAAUGAGCUUUGGGAGAAAAAUCUUACAAUUUGUUAGGUAAAGAGAGGGAAGAAAAUGUGCUCUAAGGAAAGGAAGCCAUAUUUUCCAAGACUCAGAAACCAGAACGAACAUGAUUUGUGCAGUCAACUGCUAACUUUGGCUGGAGUUUAAAAAACUAGGGGGGAGCUGGUAAGAGAUGAAGCUGAAGACCACAAGUCUGAUCAGGACAGAUUUGGUGAGCCCUAUCUUGGAGCUAGGGUUUAUUCUGAAGGUGGCUGAGAGCUUCUAAAAGACAUUAAAGGGAGGAACAUGAUUAUAUGUGCUUAAAAAAGUCACUCUGGGAACAGCAAGGAAGAAGGAUAAGAAUGGAUCAGAACAGAUCCCCAGGGAACUCCCGCAUUUACCAGGGAGAACAGAGCCAAGAGGAAAACUGCAAAGGAGUGGCCAAAGAAUUAAGAGGAAACCCGGGAGAGAGCAGUUCUGUGGAUUCGAAGAAGAGUGUCUCAAGACACAGGGAGAGGAGUUUCCAUCUUGGCUCAGCGGUAACAACCCUGACUAGUAUCCGUGAGGACGUGGGUUCAAUCCCUGACCUCGCUCAGUGGGAUAAGGAUCCGGUGUUGCUGUGAGGUGUGGUAUAGGCUGCAGUCGUGGCUCGCAUCUGGCAUUGUUGUGGCUGUGGUGUAGGCUGGCUGAUGCAGCUCUGAUUCCACCCCUGGCCUGGGAAUUUCCAUAUGCCAUGGGUGUGGCC
This 4647-nucleotide long non-coding RNA is filed under the name Sus scrofa (pig). RNAcentral's name for it is "lncRNA (ENSSSCG00065031637.1)". The record is from RNAcentral. Lineage: Eukaryota; Metazoa; Chordata; Mammalia; Artiodactyla; Suidae.